AUUGCUUCUAGGCCUUUCGGCUAAGAUCAAACGUGGUAUCUGUUCUUAUUGGUUUUAUAGCCCAUACAUCCUCUAUCUGAGGACAAUAUAGUAAAUGGAUUUGGGGAGCAGGGAAAUAGAAUAGGAGCUUGCUUGUUCCCUCCAUGCAUCGAGCUGGUUAAAAAAAGAAGAAGAAAGGAAAAUCACCUUUC
Suricata suricatta (meerkat) is the source of this 191-nucleotide small nuclear RNA. Its record names the gene U2. It matches the Rfam family "U2 spliceosomal RNA". From Rfam's summary of the family: U2 is a small nuclear RNA (snRNA) component of the spliceosome (involved in pre-mRNA splicing). Complementary binding between U2 snRNA (in an area lying towards the 5' end but 3' to hairpin I) and the branchpoint sequence (BPS) of the intron results the bulging out of an unpaired adenosine, on the BPS, which initiates a nucleophilic attack at the intronic 5' splice site, thus starting the first of two transesterification reactions that mediate splicing. The record is from Ensembl. Lineage: Eukaryota; Metazoa; Chordata; Mammalia; Carnivora; Herpestidae.